UACGUAGGGGGGCAAGCGUUUGUCCGGAUUUACUGGGCGUAAAGAGCGUGUAGGCGGCCAAACAGGUCCGUUGUGAAAACUGGAGGCUCAACCUCCAGACGUCGACGGAAACCGUGUGGCUAGAGUCCGGAAGAGGAGAGUGGAAUUCCUGGUGUAGCGGUGAAAUGCGCAGAUAUCAGGAAGAACACCAAUGGCGAAGGCAGCUCUCUGGGACGGUACUGACGCUGAGACGCGAAAGCGUGGGGAGCGAACAGG
Molecule: ribosomal RNA, 255 nt
Filed under: uncultured bacterium
Lineage: Bacteria
Description: partial 16S ribosomal RNA
Rfam family: Bacterial small subunit ribosomal RNA
Source: RNAcentral